Molecule: RNA transcript, 1532 nt
Organism: Sapajus apella (tufted capuchin)
Lineage: Eukaryota; Metazoa; Chordata; Mammalia; Primates; Cebidae
Gene: RPS9
Gene name: ribosomal protein S9
Exons: 4
Source: RefSeq, a predicted model, not a curated record
CAGAGAUCAUGCAACUGCACUCCGGCUUGGGCGACAGAGCGGGACCCUGUCUCAAAAAGAAAGAGAGAAAACCACAGUCCAGAGGUGGAGAACGAAGGUUCUCCCCACUGCUCAAGUAGCCACUCCUUAGCCGGAAGAAAGCUAGUCGUCCCAGUUUGGCACGCCGCUCUAGCCCAGACUCACAUCUCGACUGCUUCUCCGCCAGCCAACGCCUCCUCUGAUUGGCUCAGACGUGCGUUGUGCGUGAUAAGGUCACGAGGCGCCGCCGUUACUAUAAGAGCGCAGCUGUGUCGCGUGCGCGUCUCUUUCCCAGUGACCGGGUCCUGUAGUUAGGUGAGGUGUCGUGAUGUGCUUUCUGGCUAGGGUUUGGGUUGGAUGUUCGCGCGGGCCUUCCGAGCUUCCAUGAGCAAGCUAAAGACAUUAGGGAUCAGAGCAGUGUGGCUGAAUGGGAAAGCGGCACGGUUGUUGGGGCGGAUACUGAUUAUGAAAGCUUUUGAGGUGCUUCUCGCGAGAUCCAAUCUGGGCGCCGAGAGGUUUUGGCACAGUCGUGAAACUGCGCUGGCGCCACCUAGAGCCUUCAUUUUCCAACUUUCUUUCCGCGCAGGCGCAGACGGGUAAGCGGAGCCAGCAUGCCAGUGGCCCGGAGCUGGGUUUGUCGCAAGACUUAUGUGACUCCGCGGAGACCCUUCGAGAAAUCUCGUCUGGACCAAGAGCUGAAGCUGAUCGGCGAGUAUGGGCUCCGGAACAAACGUGAGGUCUGGAGGGUCAAAUUUACCCUGGCCAAGAUCCGCAAGGCCGCCCGAGAGCUGCUGACACUUGACGAGAAGGAUCCACGGCGUCUUUUCGAAGGCAAUGCUCUGCUGCGGCGGCUGGUCCGUAUUGGGGUGCUGGAUGAGGGCAAGAUGAAGCUGGAUUACAUCCUGGGCCUGAAGAUUGAGGAUUUCUUAGAGAGACGCCUGCAGACCCAGGUCUUCAAGCUGGGCUUGGCCAAGUCCAUCCACCACGCUCGCGUGCUGAUCCGCCAGCGCCAUAUCAGGUACCACCUCUUGUGGGCGUCGGGAUCUUCCUCCAUGCUGCCCUCUGAUGGUUGCCCUCACUAAGCCUGCUGUCCCUAUCUCCUGCAGCCCUCGGAGGUGAUGGGUGUGAGCUCACCCUGAGGGUUCAGAUUCACCCUUGCACACAGCACACAGCUCACGUCCCAAAAGCCCAGCGCAAGGGUCACUGCGGCUCUAGCCGUACACCUUGUGAAGGCCUCUGCCAGGCAUGUGGGCAGCUGGACAGGGUCCGAAAGCAGGUGGUGAACAUCCCGUCCUUCAUUGUCCGCCUGGAUUCCCAGAAGCACAUCGACUUCUCCCUCCGCUCUCCCUACGGGGGUGGCCGCCCGGGCCGCGUGAAGAGGAAGAAUGCCAAGAAGGGUCAGGGCGGUGCUGGAGCUGGGGAUGAUGAGGAGGAGGAUUAAGCCCACCUGUCCCCCUAUUGGGUUCGUGAAUUGCCGAGUUUUCCUGCUGAAUAAACAGGAUUAGCGCUUUAUA